GUGGGGAAUUUUGGACAAUGGGCGCAAGCCUGAUCCAGCAAUGCCGCGUGCAGGAAGAAGGCCUUCGGGUUGUAAACUGCUUUUGUACGGAACGAAACGGUCCGGGUUAAUACCCUGGGCUAAUGACGGUACCGUAAGAAUAAGCACCGGCUAACUACGUGCCAGCAGCCGCGGUAAUACGUAGGGUGCAAGCGUUAAUCGGAAUUACUGGGCGUAAAGCAUGCGCAGGCGGUUUUGUAAGACAGGCGUGAAAUCCCCGGGCUCAACCUGGGAAUUGCGCUUGUGACUGCAAGGCUGGAGUGCGGCAGAGGGGGAUGGAAUUCCGCGUGUAGCAGUGAAAUGCGUAGAUAUGCGGAGGAACACCGAUGGCGAAGGCAAUCCCCUGGGCCUGCACUGACGCUCAUGCACGAAAGCGUGGGGAGCAAACAGGAUUAGAAACCCUUGUAGUCC
Molecule: ribosomal RNA, 450 nt
Filed under: uncultured bacterium
Lineage: Bacteria
Description: partial 16S ribosomal RNA
Rfam family: Bacterial small subunit ribosomal RNA
Source: RNAcentral